AUGGCAGACUGAGUGAUGCGGGCAAGAGAGGUGCAGCGGUUUAUUCCGUAAGGCCAAUUACAGUCAAAGUAUUUUUAAAUUGGAUAUGCAGCCAUGCUUUAUGAAAAGUUAUUUCCAAUGGCACAGCAAAACUGGCAUAUGAGACCUUAUCCUGAGAUGUAACUUUUGCAGCCUGAGUUUCAAACGGUCCUGAUCGAAAACCAGUCCUUGCUCCUUCUUGUGUACUUCACUGCCACAUGGUGUGGACCUUGCAAGAUGCUGGGACCUGAGUAUGAGAGAGCUUCUACCCUGCCCGAGUACAAGGAUGUCAAGUUUGUGAAGGUGGAUGUGGAUGAGGCUGAGGACGUUUCUGCAUACUGUAAAAUCACCGUCAUGCCCAUGAUCCAUUUCUACAAAGACGGAAAAAAGGUUGAUGAGAUGUCUGGAGCCAAUAGAGAUAGGAUGAUUGAACUGCUGCAUAAGCAUAUGAAAUGACUCACCCAAGAUCUUACUAAAGGAAAAUCAGAAUCUUGGGGUGUAUUUGCUCAGUUGUGGUUCAGUAGGUAUGUUAGAAUGACGUGUGUUUAGAAAAUGUGUAUGUAGCAAAAUGAAUGUAAUGAGCACUGAUAAAAGUAGUCAGGAAAAGCAAUACAAGGUAUAUC
Branchiostoma belcheri (Belcher's lancelet) is the source of this 641-nucleotide long non-coding RNA. RefSeq lists it as uncharacterized. The record is from RefSeq and is a predicted model, not a curated record. NCBI's taxonomy places the organism in Eukaryota, Metazoa, Chordata, Leptocardii, Amphioxiformes, Branchiostomatidae. The transcript has 4 exons.